Molecule: ribosomal RNA, 388 nt
Filed under: uncultured bacterium
Lineage: Bacteria
Description: bacterial SSU rRNA
Rfam family: Bacterial small subunit ribosomal RNA
Source: RNAcentral
GACGAACGCUGGCGGCGUGCUUAACACAUGCAAGUCGAGCGGUAAGGCCCUUUCGGGGGUACACGAGCGGCGAACGGGUGAGUAACACGUGGGUGACCUGCCCUCAGCUCUGGGAUAAGCCUGGGAAACCGGGUCUAAUACCGGAUAUGACUCCAUGACGCAUGUUGUGGGGUGGAAAGCCUUGUGCGGCUGAGGAUGGGCCCGCGGCCUAUCAGCUUGUUGGUGGGGUGAUGGCCUACCAAGGCGACGACGGGUAGCCGGCCUGAGAGGGCGACCGGCCACACUGGGACUGAGACACGGCCCAGACUCCUACGGGAGGCAGCAGUGGGGAAUCUUGCGCAAUGGGCGAAAGCCUGACGCNGCGACGCCGCGUGAGGGAUGACGGCCU